AUAUAAGAUUUAGCCUGCCCACUGAGUAAUUUAAUGGCCGCAGUAUUUUGACUGUGCAAAGGUAGCAUAAUAAUUAGUUUUUUAAUUGAAAGCUGGAAUGAAUGGCUGGACGAGAAAAUUUCUGUCUCUUAUUAAUUUUGAAUAAAAUUUUAUUUUUAAGUAAAAAAGCUUAAAUUAUUAUAAAAGACGAGAAGACCCUAUAGAGUUUUAUAUUUAUAUAAAAAUAUAAUUUUAAGAAUUUAAUUUUAGUUUUUAUGUAAAUAUUUUAUUGGGGUGAUAGAAAGAUUAAUUAAACUCUUUUUUUAUUUUUACAUUUAUAUAUGAUUAUUUGAUCCAUUUUUAUGAUUACAAGAAUAAAUUACCUUAGGGAUAACAGCGUAAUCUUUUUAGAGAGUUCUUAUCGAAACAAGGGAUUGCGACCUCGAUGUUGGAUUAAAAUUAAUUUUUGGUGUAGAAGCUAGAAAAUUGAGUCUGUUCGACUUUUAAAAUUUUACAUGAUCUGAGUUUAAACCGGUGUGAGCCAGGUUGGUUUCUAUCUUUAUUAAGUUAAAAUAUUUUAGUACGAAAGGACCAA
RNAcentral lists this ribosomal RNA (574 nucleotides) under Stetholus woronora. RNAcentral's name for it is "partial large subunit ribosomal RNA". It matches the Rfam family "Bacterial large subunit ribosomal RNA", at positions 1845 to 2695 of the family's 2925-position model. Lineage: Eukaryota; Metazoa; Arthropoda; Insecta; Coleoptera; Elmidae. The record is from RNAcentral.